UGGGGAAUAUUGGACAAUGGGCGAAAGCCUGAUCCAGCCAUGCCGCGUGUGUGAAGAAGGUCUUCGGAUUGUAAAGCACUUUAAGUUGGGAGGAAGGGCAGUAAGCGAAUACCUUGCUGUUUUGACGUUACCGACAGAAUAAGCACCGGCUAACUCUGUGCCAGCAGCCGCGGUAAUACAGAGGGUGCAAGCGUUAAUCGGAAUUACUGGGCGUAAAGCGCGCGUAGGUGGUUCGUUAAGUUGAAUGUGAAAGCCCCGGGCUCAACCUGGGAACUGCAUCCAAAACUGGCGAGCUAGAGUAGGGCAGAGGGUGGUGGAAUUUCCUGUGUAGCGGAGAAAUGCGUAGAUAUAGGACGGAACACCAGUGGCGAAGGCGACCACCUGGGCUCAUACUGACACUGAGGUGCGAAAGCGUGGGGAGCAAACAGG
This 429-nucleotide ribosomal RNA is filed under the name Pseudomonadota bacterium. RNAcentral's name for it is "Proteobacteria bacterium partial 16S ribosomal RNA". It matches the Rfam family "Bacterial small subunit ribosomal RNA", at positions 355 to 776 of the family's 1533-position model. Lineage: Bacteria; Pseudomonadati; Pseudomonadota. The record is from RNAcentral.